This 255-nucleotide ribosomal RNA is filed under the name uncultured bacterium. Its description in RNAcentral is "partial 16S ribosomal RNA". It matches the Rfam family "Bacterial small subunit ribosomal RNA", at positions 524 to 776 of the family's 1533-position model. The record is from RNAcentral.
UACGUAGGGUGCGAGCGUUAAUCGGGAAUUACUGGGCGUAAAGCGUGCGCAGGCGGUUCGUUGUGUCGGCGGUGAAAUCCCCGGGCUCAACCUGGGAACUGCAUUUGUGACUGUAGAGCUGGAGUGCGGCAGAGGGGGAUGGAAUUCCGCGUGUAGCAGUGAAAUGCGUAGAGAUGUGGAGGAACACCGAUGGCGAAGGCAGCCCCCCUGGGUCAAGAUUGACGCUCAUGCACGAAAGCGUGGGGAGCAAACAGG